Molecule: ribosomal RNA, 2157 nt
Filed under: Triticum aestivum (bread wheat)
Lineage: Eukaryota; Viridiplantae; Streptophyta; Magnoliopsida; Poales; Poaceae
Description: partial small subunit ribosomal RNA
Source: RNAcentral
AUGGUCGAUCCCCAUUAUUGCGACUGGCAAAAACCCGAGCGAGAUCAGCAGCAAACCCAAUCCCAGCGACCGACUCCCCACCCCACCCCUCCCCUCCCUGGAUCGAUGCGCGGGGAAGCAGAGCCAGCAGCGCGGGGAGCAGGCGCCGCCGACGCGGGCCACCCGCGCUCGCCGGACCCGCACGACCUCUCCGACGACCCCGAUUACGCCGACGCCGCCUCCGUCCCCGCCUCCAUCCACGCGGCCAUGCGGACCGACAUGGCGGACAUAGGGUCCGAGGAGACGGCGAGGAUGGACGUGGUGUACGAGAAGGAGCGCGUCACCAUCCACCCCACUCAGUAUGGCUCCGGCCGGAUCAGCGGCAAGCUGCGCCUCUACUUGCAGCUCGGCUCCCUCUUCCUGAGCUGGGAGCCAAACGAGGGAGUUAACAUUUUCUCAACCAGUUCAAUCACUGCAGAAAUAGAAAAAUAUAGAAAUUUGUACACCAUUCAGGCCUUGCCUCUAAGUGACGUGCGCUUCAUCCGUAGGCACACCCCAACAUUUGGAUUGGAGUACAUAAUCAUUGUUCUCUCAUCAGGCUUGGCUUUUCCUCCUUUCUAUUUCUACAAUGGCGGAAUUCGUGAAUUGUUCGCAACAUUGAAACAGCAUGUCUUUAUUAUCAGGUCGGAUGAUGAUCCUAAUGUAUUUCUUGUCAACGACUUUGAAGAUCCUCUUCAGAAAAGCCUGUCAUCUCUAGAGCUUCCAGGGGUUGCCACUGUGGCUAAUGCCAUGUCACGACAGAAUUCCUUCAGCUUCACUGGUUCAGUUAGUGAAGUACGACAUGGAGAUGAUGCCAAAUAUGGGGGGCCUUCAACCAUGUCUGAAUAUGUCUCAAAGCAAAGGCGCAAAUCGAGUGAUCCAGGCCGAGACAUUUCGUUUCAAGUUCUGGAGAAAUUCUCACUGGUUACGAAGUUUGCGCGCGAGACAACAUCAAGCCUCUUUCGUGAAAAUCACAGUAGUGGUUCUCAUGCUUAUGGACGGCAAAAACAAGAAUAUGUUUUGGACAACAAAGCAAGUGACAAGUACGCAGAUCAGCUAAUAACACCGGAUGAUGCUUCUUUGCCCUCGGACUCGGUAGAGUCUGACGAGUUACUGCUGGUGUGGGGAAAAAAGAGAGGCAACCCAUUAACUGUUGAAGAGUGGAGAUCUUUCUUAGAUCCUGAAGGUAGAAUUAUGGAUUCAAAGGCACUGAGGAAGAAGAUUUUCUAUGGGGGAGUCGAUCAUGUUCUGAGAAAAGAGGUCUGGAAAUUCUUGUUGGGUUAUCAUGAAUAUGAUUCAACACAAGCUGAGAGGGAAUACCUUGCUGCCAUGAAACGAGAAGAAUAUGAAGCCAUAAAAUCCCAGUGGAAGAGUAUCUCAACCACACAAGCUAAAAGGUUCACCAAGUUUAGGGAAAGAAAAGGUCUUAUUGACAAAGACGUGGUGAGAACAGACAGAUCUGUUCCUUACUAUGAAGGAGAUGACAAUCCAAAUGUUGUAGUUCUACGUGACAUCUUGGUGACAUAUUCCUUCUAUAAUUUUGACCUGGGUUAUUGUCAAGGAAUGAGUGAUUUCUUGGCACCUAUACUUUAUGUCAUGGAGGAUGAGUCCGAAGCAUUUUGGUGCUUUGCUUCUUUGAUGGAACGACUAGGAGGCAAUUUUAAUCGUGAUCAGAAUGGCAUGCAUGCUCAACUACUUGGAUUAUCCAAGCUGGUGGAGCUUCUCGAUCCUUCAUUGCAUAACUAUUUUAGGCAGAACGACUGUCUAAACUACUUCUUCUGUUUCCGCUGGGUUCUUAUACAAUUCAAAAGGGAGUUCAGUUUUGAUCAGAUCAUGCUCUUGUGGGAAGUUUUGUGGACUCACUAUUUUUCAGAACACUUUCACCUGUACUUGUGCGUCGGUAUCUUGAAAAGGUACCGCCUGCGGAUAAUUGGGGAAGGGAUGGACUUCGACACCCUUCUCAAGUUCAUCAAUGAGCUAAGUGGUCAAAUCAAUAUUGAUCGGGCUAUUCAGGACGCCGAGGCAUUGUGUAGCAUUGCAGGUGAGGCCGGGGCCGAUUGCAUUCCACCUGGAACUCCGCCUUCUAUGCCCAUUGAGACCGAUGGUGGUCUGUACGUGCAAGAAAAUGAUGUCUUGUGA